ACGGUGUAGAUUCUUGCAUUCAUUUUGUUGCACAUUAUCGAAGGGAAAACAAUUUUAGCAGAAAAGGGUGCGGUACCGUUUGGUGCUUCAGUGAAGAUUAAAUCGUGUUACCAGCGUACGGCUUAAAUUUAUAUAAUCAGUUGUGUGGAUGCGUCAUCUGCUGGGAAGCAUGGAUUACCACGACGGAUGCCCGUCUCCGGGUGAACUGCACUAUACCCGGCUCUCGAGGGGGGUCGCCUUGAUCUGGCUUAGGAUGCCAGCACCAUGUCGGGUGGAGCCGCCCCCAAUGCUGCAUGGAGAGGCACCGUGUCAUUCCCCGCUUCCUGCCACACGUUUCUGGCUCGACUGUUUGACGGGCAAGCAAUGGAACCAAGUGGGGUAGUAGUACUAUCAAAUAGAUAAACAACUUGGAAGGGUGGCCCACUCACACGUCCUUCUCAAGGACCA
Long non-coding RNA from Ixodes scapularis (black-legged tick), 447 nucleotides. RefSeq lists it as uncharacterized. The transcript has 3 exons. NCBI's taxonomy places the organism in Eukaryota, Metazoa, Arthropoda, Arachnida, Ixodida, Ixodidae. The record is from RefSeq and is a predicted model, not a curated record.